AGCGAACGCUGGCGGCAGGCCUAACACAUGCAAGUCGAACGAACCUUUCGGGGUUAGUGGCGGACGGGUGAGUAACACGUGGGAACGUGCCUUUAGGUUCGGAAUAACUCAGGGAAACUUGUGCUAAUACCGAAUGUGCCCUUCGGGGGAAAGAUUUAUCGCCUUUAGAGCGGCCCGCGUCUGAUUAGCUAGUUGGUUGAGGUAAUGGCUCACCAAGGCGACGAUCAGUAGCUGGUCUGAGAGGAUGAUCAGCCACAUUGGGACUGAGACACGGCCCAAACUCUUGCGGAGGGCAGCAGGGGGGAAUCAGCCGCAAAGGGCGAAUGAUGAAGGCCGCCAGGCCGGGAGAAUGAUGAGGGGCGUAGGAUAAGAAAAUUCUUUAACCGGGGACGUUAUGGCGGUAACCCGGGAAAAAAGCCCGGCCAACUUCGGG
This 433-nucleotide ribosomal RNA is filed under the name uncultured bacterium. Its description in RNAcentral is "partial 16S ribosomal RNA". It matches the Rfam family "Bacterial small subunit ribosomal RNA", at positions 29 to 507 of the family's 1533-position model. The record is from RNAcentral.